Molecule: long non-coding RNA, 444 nt
Organism: Cyprinus carpio (common carp)
Lineage: Eukaryota; Metazoa; Chordata; Actinopteri; Cypriniformes; Cyprinidae
Source: Ensembl
AUGCAAUAUCUUCCACAGUUUUGCUUCUCAGGGUAUUUUGCUAGAAAACAAGACAAGAGUUUUAACUUGAUAUCUGCUUGUGUUCUUCUCUGUUUCCAGAUGAGCAGCCUGCUCUAUCUCUCUCCAGAGCAGCUGGUCGGGCUGAUGUUUGAUGAUGUUCCUGGUCUUCCAGAGAAAAGUGUGGUCAUCAGUGCAGUGUUCGAUCACCUGACCGCGUCUCCACAGAGAGAGAGGAUCGUCUCCACGCUUCCCAUCAUGGUGGAGUCAUCAAAGAUGAGGAACGUCUCCUGCGCCUCAUAUCAGAUCAUCUUCCACCGUCUGGAUCAUCUGAUGGUCAGCGUGCCGGUGGAUCUGGAGUCAGUGAUUGUGAGGACUAAAUCAGCUCUUCUUCAGAACGUGCCGCAGGGUGAGACCAGAGCACUUUCACUCUCAGGAGACGUUUAA